This 406-nucleotide ribosomal RNA is filed under the name uncultured bacterium. RNAcentral describes it as "partial 16S ribosomal RNA". It matches the Rfam family "Bacterial small subunit ribosomal RNA", at positions 28 to 526 of the family's 1533-position model. The record is from RNAcentral.
GAUGAACGCUAGCUACAGGCUUAACACAUGCAAGUCGAGGGACCGGCGCACGGGUGAGUAACACGUAUCCAACCUGCCCUUUACUCGGGGAUAGCCUUUCGAACGAAAGAUUAAUACCCGAUAUAAAGGAUGGGGAUGCGUUCCAUUAGGUUGUUGGUGAGGUAACGGCUCACCAAGCCUUCGAUGGAUAGGGGUUCUGAGGGGAAGGGCAGCCACAUUGGAACUGAGGCACGGUCCAAACUCGUAGGGGAGGCAGGAGUGGGGAGUAUUUGGCAAUGGGCGCUAGCCUGAACCAGCCAAGUAGCGUGAAGGAUGAAGGGUUAUGGGUCGUAAACUUCUUAUGUAAAAGAAUAGGUAUUAUAUGAAUAAGGAUCGGCUAACUCCGUGCCAGCAGCCGCGGUAAUUC